Molecule: non-coding RNA, 250 nt
Organism: Phoenix dactylifera (date palm)
Lineage: Eukaryota; Viridiplantae; Streptophyta; Magnoliopsida; Arecales; Arecaceae
Source: RefSeq, a predicted model, not a curated record
AGCACCCCAGCGCGUAGGUUGUGAUUCGGAUUUGUAUUUGAGUCAGUCUACAAUUUCUAGGCACUGGAUUUGUAGAGUCCAUCGGGUGGGACGAGAAAUGAGAUCAGCAUGUAGUCUGACUGCUAGAUAGAUAGAAGCAGCUUAUCUUUUAUUGUUGGACAUUUGAAAAUCUUGUAAUUAAACCGAUCGUUUAUUUAAACAUGUCGAAUUGUCAAUUUGAGUUAAUUAAUUAGUUAUGGAUUUAUUGGAA